GUCGGGGUGGCGGAAUGGCAGACGCGCUAGCUUGAGGUGCUAGUGCCCUUAGGGGCGUGGGGGUUCAAGUCCCCCUCUCGACA
This 83-nucleotide transfer RNA is filed under the name Nocardia sp. SYP-A9097. It matches the Rfam family "tRNA". From Rfam's summary of the family: Transfer RNA (tRNA) molecules are approximately 80 nucleotides in length. Their secondary structure includes four short double-helical elements and three loops (D, anti-codon, and T loops). Further hydrogen bonds mediate the characteristic L-shaped molecular structure. tRNAs have two regions of fundamental functional importance: the anti-codon, which is responsible for specific mRNA codon recognition, and the 3' end, to which the tRNAs corresponding amino acid is attached (by aminoacyl-tRNA synthetases). tRNAs cope with the degeneracy of the genetic code in two manners: having more than one tRNA (with a specific anti-codon) for a particular amino acid; and 'wobble' base-pairing, i.e. permitting non-standard base-pairing at the 3rd anti-codon position. RNAcentral also lists the same sequence under 1 other name. The record is from Rfam by way of RNAcentral. Lineage: Bacteria; Bacillati; Actinomycetota; Actinomycetes; Mycobacteriales; Nocardiaceae.